This 506-nucleotide ribosomal RNA is filed under the name uncultured bacterium. RNAcentral describes it as "partial 16S ribosomal RNA". It matches the Rfam family "Bacterial small subunit ribosomal RNA", at positions 30 to 523 of the family's 1533-position model. The record is from RNAcentral.
AUUGAACGCUGGCGGCAGGCCUAACACAUGCAAGUCGAACGGUAGCAGGAAGAAGCUUGCUUCUUUGCUGACGAGUGGCGGACGGGUGAGUAAUGUCUGGGAAACUGCCUGAUGGAGGGGGAUAACUACUGGAAACGGUAGCUAAUACCGCAUAACGUCGCAAGACCAAAGAGGGGGACCUUCGGGCCUCUUGCCAUCAGAUGUGCCCAGAUGGGAUUAGCUAGUAGGUGGGGUAACGGCUCACCUAGGCGACGAUCCCUAGCUGGUCUGAGGGGAGGACCAGCCGCACUGGAACUGAGACACGGUCCAGACUCCUACGGGAGGCAGCAGUGGGGAAUAUUGCACAAUGGGCGCAAGCCUGAUGCAGCCGUGCCGCGUGUGUGAAGAAGGCCUUCGGGUUGUAAAGCACUUUCAGCGGGGAGGAAGGGGGAAUGGUUAAUAACCAUUGUCAUUGACGUUACCCGCAGAAGAAGCACCGGCUAACUCCGUGCCAGCAGCCGCCGUAA